GACGAACGCUGGCGGCGUGCCUAAUACAUGCCAGUCGAGCGCUUCUUUCCUCCCGAGUGCUUGCACUCAAUUGGAAAGAGGAGUGGCGGACGGGUGAGUAACACGUGGGUAACCUACCCAUCAGAGGGGGAUAACACUUGGAAACAGGUGCUAAUACCGCAUAACAGUUUAUGCCGCAUGGCAUAAGAGUGAAAGGCGCUUUCGGGUGUCGCUGAUGGAUGGACCCGCGGUGCAUUAGCUAGUUGGUGAGGUAACGGCUCACCAAGGCCACGAUGCAUAGCCGACCUGAGAGGGUGAUCGGCCACACUGGGACUGAGACACGGCCCAGACUCCUACGGGAGGCAGCAGUAGGGAAUCGUCGGCAAUGGACGAAAGUCUGACCGAGCAACGCCGCGUGAGUGAAGAAGGUUUUCGGAUCGUAAAACUCUGUUGUUAGAGAAGAACAAGGACGUUAGUAACUGAACGUCCCCUGACGGUAUCUAACCAGAAAGCCACGGCUAACUACGUG
Molecule: ribosomal RNA, 508 nt
Filed under: uncultured bacterium
Lineage: Bacteria
Description: partial 16S ribosomal RNA
Rfam family: Bacterial small subunit ribosomal RNA
Source: RNAcentral